RNAcentral lists this transfer RNA (26 nucleotides) under Eolophus roseicapilla (galah). Its description in RNAcentral is "Eolophus roseicapillus (galah) partial tRNA-Trp". Lineage: Eukaryota; Metazoa; Chordata; Aves; Psittaciformes; Cacatuidae. The record is from RNAcentral.
AAACUUAGGAUAAUGCCAAACCAAAG